RNAcentral lists this ribosomal RNA (253 nucleotides) under uncultured bacterium. Its description in RNAcentral is "partial 16S ribosomal RNA". It matches the Rfam family "Bacterial small subunit ribosomal RNA", at positions 524 to 776 of the family's 1533-position model. The record is from RNAcentral.
UACAGGGGGUGCAAACGUUGCUCGGAAUCAUUGGGCGUAAAGCGCACGUAGGCGGUUUGUUAUGUCGGCUGUGAAAGCCCUUGGCUCAACUGAGGAAGUGCAUCCGAAACUGGCAAGCUAGAGUACUAAAGAGGAUCGCGGAAUUCCCGGUGUAGAGGUGAAAUUCGUAGAUAUCGGGAGGAACACCGGUGGCGAAGGCGGCGAUCUGGGUAGAUACUGACGCUGAGGUGCGAAAGCGUGGGGAGCAAACAGG